AUCUAACAAUAUAUAUAUAUAUAUAUAUAUAUAUAUUUAAAAAUAUAUAUAAUUUAUGAAAUUAAAUUUGUAAUAUUAAUGAACAUAUUUUGACUAAGACUAAGGAAAUAUUCAAUCAUAAUAAUAAUCUAAAUCAAUAACAAAUAACAAACAAUAUCUUGACAAGAUAUUUUCUAUAUAAAAAAAAUAACAUUUGACACCAAUGGUAAAGAUAUUAUAAGGUAAGGAAUUUAUUUUUAUAUUAUUUUGACUACAAACAGAGAAAUUAAGCUCAAGGAUAUUUUGAUAAAAAAUUUCCUUUUAUGCAAAUUUAUGUUAUUAUAUAUAUAACAACAUAAAUAAAAAUAAAAAACUAAACAAAAAUUAAGAAAAGUUCAUACAAAAUGGUUUCUCCAAAAACAUAUUGAUCGCAUUUGUUUUCACCAUUUUCUUGUAGUAUCCAAUGUUCAUUGCUACCCAUGUAUUUAAUUUCACUUGUUUACUUAAAUUUAUACUCCUUUAUUUAUCUAAUUAUAAUUUGUAACAUUCCAAUGAUUCUGAUUUUAUAUAGACUUUGACGUAAAACAAGACUACAAAAAAUGCUACCUUCCGUGUAAACAAACAUCCGAAGGAUGUGAGAGGUUUUGUGCAGCUAGAACAUUCAGUUGGUUGGCGAAUGUAUUUCUGAUUUAUGUUGUUGUAGGUCAAAAAGGCCAAAUUAACAUUAUUAAAGAUUAUACAUUUUGUACUAGUGUCAAGAGUGCUAAUAAAGAUCCAAAACAAUUAGCAAACUGAAGUUACUUUGAUAAAGAAAUCAUCUUUCCUUAAAAGAAAUAAAAAAUAUUAAUUCAACAUAUAAGAUAUUUAAAUGUAAAUUAUCAAAAUUACUAGUGAAACAAGUCCACAUGUACUAAUGGUGAAUUCAAUAAUUUUUUGGAUAACUAGAAUAUAUAUAUAUUUUUUUAUUUUGAUAUUUUUUGGCGCAUAACCUUUGAUUCUCUUCUUAAUCGAAUAAACACAAUUGGCUUUGAUAUGUUAUAUUUGUAAAGUAUAACAUUUUGCGAGUAUGGUUUUGAUAGCAAUCUUGUAGUUGAAACACCAUUAAUUCGUCCUCGAAGAAACAAUAUAUAUUGUCUUUGUACUUUACAUCAAAAUAUUAAAUGGAUUAGACAAAACAUAUAGUCAGGAUAUUUAUUGUUAAAAAUAGGUUUUUACUAAACCCAUAAUUAUUUAGAUGCAACUAAAAUAUUUUUUUUGUACUAAUACAUCUACCCGUGUAUCAUUUUUCACUCAAAUAUAAUAUCAAAAACUGAAUGAUUUAUUUGAUAAUAUAAAUGUAGUUCAUGUCAAUAAUUCCAUAUUUCUUACCUACUUUUUGUUGUAUAUUUUAAAUCUCAUAUUCAUUAUUGAAUAUGUAUUGAUAUUAGAAGGGCAAAUAAUAGUAAAAUAUAUGUUGAUAUUACAAGAGAAAAUGAUUUACAUCGUCUAAAUAUAUUAUGCAUGAUGUAUUUGGCUUAUGUUAAGCUGAAAAUAGUUAUAAGAAAAUUAAAACUCUAAAUAAAAUACGAAAGACACUCAAGAAUAACAAAAUUCCUAAUUAGUUAUAUUGCAAAUUAAUACAUUUAUUAUAAAACAUAAAAAAAAUUAAGUUCUAAGAGUUUAGUGAAAUAAAAAUAUUAACUUACAAGCAUGAAAACCUCAUAUGCCAAGUUCUUAUUUAAUACCUAUUGGAUUCAUCUAAUAAUAUAUAUAUUUAAAAAUAUAUAUAAUUUAUGAAAUUAAAUUUGUAAUAUUUAUUAACAUAUUUUGACUAAGACUAAGGCAAUAUUCAAUCAUAAUAAUAAUCUAAAUCAACAACAAAUAACAAACAAUAUCUUGACAAGAUAUUUUCUAUAUAAAAAAGAAUAACAUUUCACACCAAUGGUAAAGAUAUUAUAAGGUAAGGAAUUAAUUUUUAUAUUAUUUUGACUACAAUCCAAGAAAUUAAGCUCAAGGAUAUUUUGAUAAAAUUUUCCUUUUAUGCAAAUUUGUGUUAUUAUAUAUACAACAUCAUAAAUCAAAAUAAAACACUAAACAAAAAAUAAGAAAAGUUCAUACAAAAUGGGUUUCUCCAAAAACAUAUUGAUCGCAUUUGUUUUCACCAUUUUCUUCGUAGUAUCUAAUGUUCAUUGCUACCCAGACUUUGAAGUAAAACAAGACUACAAAAAAUGCUACCUUCCGUGUAAACAAAUAUCCGAAGGAUGUGAAAGUUUUUGUGCAGCUAAGAACAUUCAGUUGGUUGGCGAAUGUAUUUCUGAUUUAUGUUGUUGUAGGUCAAAAAGGCCAAAUUAACAUUAUUAAAGAUUAUACAUUUUGUACUAGUGUCAAGAGUGCUAAUAAAGAUCCAAAACAAUUAGCAAACUGAAGUUACUUUGAUAAAGAAAUCAUCUUUCCUUAAAAGAAAUAAAAAAUAUUAAUUCAA
This is a long non-coding RNA of Brassica napus (rape), 2440 nucleotides long. RefSeq lists it as uncharacterized. NCBI's taxonomy places the organism in Eukaryota, Viridiplantae, Streptophyta, Magnoliopsida, Brassicales, Brassicaceae. The record is from RefSeq and is a predicted model, not a curated record. The transcript is spliced from 2 exons.